This is a regulatory RNA element of Monodelphis domestica (gray short-tailed opossum), 47 nucleotides long. It matches the Rfam family "Histone 3' UTR stem-loop". Rfam says of the family: The mRNAs of metazoan histone genes lack a poly-A tail. The record is from Rfam. NCBI's taxonomy places the organism in Eukaryota, Metazoa, Chordata, Mammalia, Didelphimorphia, Didelphidae.
CCAAAGGCUCUUUUCAGAGCCACCCAUUUUUUUCAAAGAAAAAGCCG